AGCGAACGCUGGCGCCAGGCCUAACACAUGCAAGUCGAACGAACCUUUCGGGGUUAGUGGCGGACGGGUGAGUAACACGUGGGAACGUGCCUUUAGGUUCGGAAUAACUCAGGGAAACUUGUGCUAAUACCGAAUGUGCCCUUCGGGGGAAAGAUUUAUCGCCUUUAGAGCGGCCCGCGUCUGAUUAGCUAGUUGGUUGAGGUAAUGGCUCACCAAGGCGACGAUCAGUAGCUGGUCUGAGAGGAUGAUCAGCCACAUUGGGACUGAGACACGGCCCAAACUCCUACGGGAGGCAGCAGUGGGGAAUCUUGCGCAAUGGGCGAAAGCCUGACGCAGCCAUGCCGCGUGAAUGAUGAAGGUCUUAGGAUUGUAAAAUUCUUUCAACGGGGACGAUAAUGACGGUACCCGGAGAAGAAGCCCCGGCUAACUUCGUG
RNAcentral lists this ribosomal RNA (434 nucleotides) under uncultured bacterium. RNAcentral describes it as "partial 16S ribosomal RNA". It matches the Rfam family "Bacterial small subunit ribosomal RNA", at positions 29 to 507 of the family's 1533-position model. The record is from RNAcentral.